RNAcentral lists this ribosomal RNA (497 nucleotides) under uncultured bacterium. RNAcentral's name for it is "partial 16S ribosomal RNA". It matches the Rfam family "Bacterial small subunit ribosomal RNA", at positions 28 to 507 of the family's 1533-position model. The record is from RNAcentral.
GAUGAACGCUGGCGGCGUACCUAAUACAUGCAAGUCGAGCGAACAGACGAGGAGCUUGCUCCUCUGAUGUUAGCGGCGGACGGGUGAGUAACACGUGGAUAACCUACCUAUAAGACUGGGAUAACUUCGGGAAACCGGAGCUAAUACCGGAUAAUAUAUUGAACCGCAUGGUUCAAUAGUGAAAGACGGUUUUGCUGUCACUUAUAGAUGGAUCCGCGCCGCAUUAGCUAGUUGGUAAGGUAACGGCUUACCAAGGCAACGAUGCGUAGCCGACCUGAGAGGGUGAUCGGCCACACUGGAACUGAGACACGGUCCAGACUCCUACGGGAGGCAGCAGUAGGGAAUCUUCCGCAAUGGGCGAGAGCUUGACGGAGCAACGCCGCGUGAGUGAUGAAGGUCUUCGGAUCGUAAAACUCUGUUAUUAGGGAAGAACAAAUGUGUAAGUAACUAUGCACGUCUUGACGGUACCUAAUCAGAAAGCCACGGCUAACUACGUG